UACGUAGGGGGCAAGCGUUGUCCGGAAUUAUUGGGCGUAAAGAGCGUGUAGGCGGUCCGGUAAGUCAGCUGUGAAAGUCAAGGGCUCAACCCUUGAAUGCCGGUUGAUACUGUCGGGCUAGAGUCCGGAAGAGGCGAGUGGAAUUCCCGGUGUAGUGGUGAAAUGCGUAGAUAUCGGGAGGAACACCAGUGGCGAAGGCGACUUCCUGGCCUGUUCUUGACGCUGAGGCGCGAAAGCUAGGGUAGCAAACGGG
Molecule: ribosomal RNA, 253 nt
Filed under: uncultured bacterium
Lineage: Bacteria
Description: partial 16S ribosomal RNA
Rfam family: Bacterial small subunit ribosomal RNA
Source: RNAcentral